RNAcentral lists this long non-coding RNA (371 nucleotides) under Scleropages formosus (Asian bonytongue). Its description in RNAcentral is "lncRNA (ENSSFOG00015031538.1)". Lineage: Eukaryota; Metazoa; Chordata; Actinopteri; Osteoglossiformes; Osteoglossidae. The record is from RNAcentral.
CCUGACACACUCCGGGCACGCGCCUCAUUUGCAAUCAGGGCGCGAGGAGCUGAAGCACCUGCCUGACAGCGGCGCCUUGACUCGCUUCCUCUACAGGUACUACAGCAGGAAUGGAAUUUGAUGUCAGGCAGCAGCUUUAAGCACUAGACCACCUGCUGACGCCAGCGUCCCCCAACUUUAUCCCAGGGGGUCGGUAGGUCCCACAGUCAGGCUGCGGCUCCGCGCUCCGUCUGACAGGAUCUCUGGCCUCGCGCCAUCGCCGCCGUCCGCCAGGAAUCCGCCGUGCCACAGGAAUGCAGAUGCGAGUGCCCCCUCACCUCGGCUGCCUUUGAAACAUCCACUCAGCCUCCGUGCUCACGUCCCUGGCCCCG